Molecule: ribosomal RNA, 452 nt
Filed under: uncultured Sphingobacteriales bacterium
Lineage: Bacteria; Pseudomonadati; Bacteroidota; Sphingobacteriia; Sphingobacteriales
Description: bacterial SSU rRNA
Rfam family: Bacterial small subunit ribosomal RNA
Source: RNAcentral
CGGAGGAACAUGUGGUUUAAUUCGAUGAUACGCGAGGAACCUUACCUGGGCUUAAAUGUAGAGUGCAUUUUUUAGAGAUAGAAAUUCCCUUCGGGGCUUUCUGCAAGGUGCUGCAUGGUUGUCGUCAGCUCGUGCCGUGAGGUGUCGGGUUAAGUCCCAUAACGAGCGCAACCCUUAUCGUUAGUUGCCAUCUGGUAAUGCAGGGGACUCUAGCGAAACUGCCACCGUAAGGUGAGAGGAAGGUGGGGAUGACGUCAAAUCAGCACGGCCCUUAUGUCCAGGGCUACACACGUGCUACAAUGGUCGGUACAAAGGGUUGCCAAGCCGCGAGGUGGAGCUAAUCCCAUAAAACCGAUCGUAGUCCGGAUCGCAGUCUGCAACUCGACUGCGUGAAGUCGGAAUCGCUAGUAAUCGUGAAUCAGAAUGUCACGGUGAAUACGUUCCCGGGCCUU